This 868-nucleotide ribosomal RNA is filed under the name marine metagenome. RNAcentral describes it as "bacterial SSU rRNA". It matches the Rfam family "Bacterial small subunit ribosomal RNA", at positions 127 to 1007 of the family's 1533-position model. The record is from RNAcentral.
UGCCCUUCACUCUGGGAUAACUGCGGGAAACUGUAGCUAAUACCGGAUAUGAGGAUCUGAGGCAUCUCGGAUCUUGGAAAGAAUUUCGGUGAAGGAUGGGCUCGCGGCCUAUCAGCUUGUUGGUGAGGUAAAGGCUCACCAAGGCGACGACGGGUAGCCGGCCUGAGAGGGUGACCGGCCACACUGGAACUGAGACACGGUCCAGACUCCUACGGGAGGCAGCAGUGGGGAAUAUUGCACAAUGGGCGCAAGCCUGAUGCAGCAACGCCGCGUGAGGGAUGAAGGCCUUCGGGUUGUAAACCUCUUUUAGCAGGGAAGAAGCGAAAGUGACGGUACCUGCAGAAAAAGCACCGGCUAACUACGUGCCAGCAGCCGCGGUAAUACGUAGGGUGCAAGCGUUGUCCGGAAUUAUUGGGCGUAAAGAGCUCGUAGGCGGUUUGUCGCGUCUGCUGUGAAAACUGGAAGCUCAACUUCCAGCCUGCAGUGGGUACGGGCAAACUAGAGUGCGGUAGGGGAGAACGGAAUUCCUGGUGUAGCGGUGGAAUGCGCAGAUAUCAGGAGGAACACCGAUGGCGAAGGCAGUUCUCUGGGCCGUUACUGACGCUGAGGAGCGAAAGCGUGGGGAGCGAACAGGAUUAGAUACCCUGGUAGUCCACGCCGUAAACGGUGGGUGCUAGCUGUGGGCCACAUUCCACGUGGUCCGUGACGAAGUUAACACAUUAAGCACCCCGCCUGGGGAGUACGGCCGCAAGGCUAAAACUCAAAGGAAUUGACGGGGGCCCGCACAAGCGGCGGAGCAUGCGGAUUAAUUCGAUGCAACGCGAAGAACCUUACCAAGGCUUGACAUAUAGAGGAAAAGUGCAGAAAU